GGCGAGAUAGCUCAGUUGGUAGAGCACACGACUGAAAAUCGUGGUGUCGGCGGUUCGAGUCCGCCUCUCGCCA
Molecule: transfer RNA, 73 nt
Filed under: Solirubrobacterales bacterium
Lineage: Bacteria; Bacillati; Actinomycetota; Thermoleophilia; Solirubrobacterales
Also listed under: 2 other names
Description: tRNA-Phe
Rfam family: tRNA
About the family: Transfer RNA (tRNA) molecules are approximately 80 nucleotides in length. Their secondary structure includes four short double-helical elements and three loops (D, anti-codon, and T loops).
Source: RNAcentral